This 253-nucleotide ribosomal RNA is filed under the name uncultured bacterium. RNAcentral's name for it is "partial 16S ribosomal RNA". It matches the Rfam family "Bacterial small subunit ribosomal RNA", at positions 524 to 776 of the family's 1533-position model. The record is from RNAcentral.
UACAGAGGGUGCGAGCGUUAAUCGGAAUUACUGGGCGUAAAGCGUGCGUAGACGGUUAUUUAAGUCGGGUGUGAAAGCCCCGGGCUCAACCUGGGAAUUGCAUUCGAGACUGAAUAGCUAGGGUACGGUAGAGGGAAGCGGAAUUUCCGGUGUAGCGGUGAAAUGCGUAGAUAUCUGGAGGAACACCGGUGGCGAAGGCGGCAUCCUGGACCAAUAUUGACGCUGAGGAGCGAAAGCCAGGGGAGCAAACGGG